RNAcentral lists this ribosomal RNA (1265 nucleotides) under Micrococcus luteus. RNAcentral's name for it is "bacterial SSU rRNA". It matches the Rfam family "Bacterial small subunit ribosomal RNA", at positions 33 to 1350 of the family's 1533-position model. Lineage: Bacteria; Bacillati; Actinomycetota; Actinomycetes; Micrococcales; Micrococcaceae. The record is from RNAcentral.
AAGUUUGGGGCUUAAAAUGCAAGUCGUACGAUGGUGCCCUAAUUGCUGGGUGGAUUAGUGGCGAACGGGUGAGUAACACGUGAGUAACCUGCCCUUAACUCUGGGAUAAGCCUGGGAAACUGGGUCUAAUACCGGAUAGGAGCGCCUACCGCAUGGUGGGUGUUGGAAAGAUUUAUCGGUUUUGGAUGGACUCGCGGCCUAUCAGCUUGUUGGUGAGGUAAUGGCUCACCAAGGCGACGACGGGUAGCCGGCCUGAGAGGGUGACCGGCCACACUGGGACUGAGACACGGCCCAGACUCCUACGGGAGGCAGCAGUGGGGAAUAUUGCACAAUGGGCGCAAGCCUGAUGCAGCGACGCCGCGUGAGGGAUGACGGCCUUCGGGUUGUAAACCUCUUUCAGUAGGGAAGAAGCGAAAGUGACGGUACCUGCAGAAGAAGCACCGGCUAACUACGUGCCAGCAGCCGCGGUAAUACGUAGGGUGCGAGCGUUAUCCGGAAUUAUUGGGCGUAAAGAGCUCGUAGGCGGUUUGUCGCGUCUGUCGUGAAAGUCCGGGGCUUAACCCCGGAUCUGCGGUGGGUACGGGCAGACUAGAGUGCAGUAGGGGAGACUGGAAUUCCUGGUGUAGCGGUGGAAUGCGCAGAUAUCAGGAGGAACACCGAUGGCGAAGGCAGGUCUCUGGGCUGUAACUGACGCUGAGGAGCGAAAGCAUGGGGAGCGAACAGGAUUAGAUACCCUGGUAGUCCAUGCCGUAAACGUUGGGCACUAGGUGUGGGGACCAUUCCACGGUUUCCGCGCCGCAGCUAACGCAUUAAGUGCCCCGCCUGGGGAGUACGGCCGCAAGGCUAAAACUCAAAGGAAUUGACGGGGGCCCGCACAAGCGGCGGAGCAUGCGGAUUAAUUCGAUGCAACGCGAAGACCCUUACCAAGGCUUGACAUGUUCUCGAUCGCCGUAGAGAUACGGUUUCCCCUUUGGGGCGGGUCACAGGUGGUGCAUGGUGUCGUCAGCUCGUGUCGUGAGAUGUUGGGUUAAGUCCUGCACGAGCGCACCCUCGUCAUGCUGCCAGCACGUAGUUGCUGGGACUCAUGGGAGACUGCCGGGUCAACUCGGAGGAGGUGAGACGACGUCAAUCAUCAUGCCCCUUAUGUCUGGGCUCAGCAUGCUACAUGACGGUAAUGUUUGCGAAUCCUGGGAGUGAGCCUAUCUAAGCGUCCAGUCGAUGGAUCGACUCGACCCAUGAGUCGGACUGCCUAGAUAUCGCGAAAU